AUUGAACGCUGGCGGCAGGCCUAACACAUGCAAGUCGAGCGGAUGAAGGGAGCUUGCUCCUGGAUUCAGCGGCGGACGGGUGAGUAAUGCCUAGGAAUCUGCCUGGUAGUGGGGGAUAACGUCCGGAAACGGGCGCUAAUACCGCAUACGUCCUGAGGGAGAAAGUGGGGGAUCUUCGGACCUCACGCUAUCAGAUGAGCCUAGGUCGGAUUAGCUAGUUGGUGGGGGAAAGGCCUACCAAGGCGACGAUCCGUAACUGGUCUGAGAGGAUGAUCAGUCACACUGGAACUGAGACACGGUCCAGACUCCUACGGGAGGCAGCAGUGGGGAAUAUUGGACAAUGGGCGAAAGCCUGAUCCAGCCAUGCCGCGUGUGUGAAGAAGGUCUUCGGAUUGUAAAGCACUUUAAGUUGGGAGGAAGGGCAGUAAGUUAAUACCCUGCUGUUUUGACGUUACCAACAGAAUAAGCACCGGCUAACUUCGUG
This 484-nucleotide ribosomal RNA is filed under the name uncultured bacterium. Its description in RNAcentral is "partial 16S ribosomal RNA". It matches the Rfam family "Bacterial small subunit ribosomal RNA", at positions 30 to 507 of the family's 1533-position model. The record is from RNAcentral.